GUCUAUGGCCAUACCAACCUGAAUAUGCCUGAUCUCGUCUGAUCGGGGAAGCGAAGUGGGGUUGGGGCCUGGUUAAUGCUUGGAUGAGAGUGCUGCAUCCUCUUGGAUGGAGGAGCUCCUGCUGCAGGUC
RNAcentral lists this ribosomal RNA (130 nucleotides) under Fukomys damarensis (Damara mole-rat). Lineage: Eukaryota; Metazoa; Chordata; Mammalia; Rodentia; Bathyergidae. The record is from RNAcentral.